AGCGAACGCUGGCGGCAGGCCUAACACAUGCAAGUCGAACGAACCUUUCGGGGUUAGUGGCGGACGGGUGAGUAACACGUGGGAACGUGCCUUUAGGUUCGGAAUAACUCAGGGAAACUUGUGCUAAUACCGAAUGUGCCCUUCGGGGGAAAGAUUAAUCGCCUUUAGAGCGGCCCGCGUCUGAUUAGCUAGUUGGUUGAGGUAAUGGCUCACCAAGGCGACGAUCAGUAGCUGGUCUGAGAGGAUGAUCAGCCACAUUGGGACUGAGACACGGCCCAAACUCCUACGGGAGGCAGGAGUGGGGAAUCUUGCGCAAUGGGCGAAAGCCUGACGAAGCCAUGCCGGGUGAAUGAGGAAGGUCGUAGGAUUGUAAAAUUCUUUCACCGGGGACGAUAAUGACGGUACCCGGAGAAGAAGCCCCGGCUAACUUCGUG
Molecule: ribosomal RNA, 434 nt
Filed under: uncultured bacterium
Lineage: Bacteria
Description: partial 16S ribosomal RNA
Rfam family: Bacterial small subunit ribosomal RNA
Source: RNAcentral